UACGUAGGGUGCAAGCGUUAAUCGGAAUUACUGGGCGUAAAGCGUGCGCAGGCGGUUCGGAAAGAAGGAUGUGAAAUCCCAGGGCUCAACCUUGGAACUGCAUUCUUAACUACCGAACUAGAGUAUGUCAGAGGGGGGUAGAAUUCCGCGUGUAGCAGUGAAAUGCGUAGAUAUGCGGGGGAAUACCGAUGGCGAAGGCAGCCCCCUGGGAUAAUACUGACGCUCAUGCACGAAAGCGUGGGUAGCAAACAGGAUUAGAUACCCUGGUAGUCCACGCCCUAAACGAUGUCAACUAGCUGUUGGGCCCUUCGGGGCUUAGUAGCGUAGCUAACGCGUGAAGUUGACCGCCUGGGGAGUACGGUCGCAAGAUUAAA
This 374-nucleotide ribosomal RNA is filed under the name uncultured bacterium. RNAcentral describes it as "bacterial SSU rRNA". It matches the Rfam family "Bacterial small subunit ribosomal RNA", at positions 524 to 898 of the family's 1533-position model. The record is from RNAcentral.